CAAAUCACAUUAAAACAAAAGUCUGCAUGUUUCGUAUGCUGCAAACUGCUCACAUAGCAUCCCGUGAAUGUUUGAAAAGUCCACCUACCUGGCUGAAGAUGGUACUUUUUUUUACUUACAGAUUUAAAGCUCUCAGCGGCAAAUCAUAUUAAAACAAAAGUCUGCAUGUUUCGUAUGCGGCAAACUGCUCACAUAGCAUCCCGUGAAUGUUUGAAAAGUCCACCUACCUGGCU
This is a non-coding RNA of Pelobates cultripes (western spadefoot toad), 233 nucleotides long. The record is from the annotation of a GenBank genome assembly. NCBI's taxonomy places the organism in Eukaryota, Metazoa, Chordata, Amphibia, Anura, Pelobatidae.